UUCCCCCCCUCUCUUUAUUUAGGGCCCCCACCCACCAAUCAGGGGUGGGGGCCAGUGGGGGAGGACAGUAGGUCCCCCUUAUUGUUUUUUAGGGCCCCCACCCCUGAGCGGCGGGUGGGGGCCCUAAAAAACAAUAAGGGGGGGG
Pelobates fuscus (common spadefoot toad) is the source of this 145-nucleotide non-coding RNA. RefSeq annotates it as small Cajal body-specific RNA 11. The record is from RefSeq and is a predicted model, not a curated record. NCBI's taxonomy places the organism in Eukaryota, Metazoa, Chordata, Amphibia, Anura, Pelobatidae. The transcript has a single exon.